RNAcentral lists this ribosomal RNA (200 nucleotides) under uncultured bacterium. RNAcentral's name for it is "partial 16S ribosomal RNA". It matches the Rfam family "Bacterial small subunit ribosomal RNA", at positions 28 to 231 of the family's 1533-position model. The record is from RNAcentral.
GAUGAACGCUAGCGGCAGGCCUAACACAUGCAAGUCGAGGGGUAGAAGUCUUCGGACUUUGAGACCGGCGCACGGGUGCGUAACGCGUAUGCAAUCUGCCUUACACUAAGGGAUAGCCCAGAGAAAUUUGGACUAAUACCUUAUAGUAUGUAGAAGGGACAUCCCUUUCACAUUAAAGAUUUAUCGGUGUAAGAUGAGCA